CGCCUUAUACUCCUACGGGAGGCAGCAGUGGGGAAUUUUGGACAAUGGGGGCAACCCUGAUCCAGCAAUGCCGCGUGUGUGAAGAAGGUCUUCGGAUUGUAAAGCACUUUAAGUUGGGAGGAAGGGCAGUAAGUUAAUACCUUGCUGUUUUGACGUUACCGACAGAAUAAGCACCGGCUAACUCUGUGCCAGCAGCCGCGGUAAUACAGAGGGUGCAAGCGUUAAUCGGAAUUACUGGGCGUAAAGCGCGCGUAGGUGGUUUGUUAAGCUGGAUGUGAAAGCCCCGGGCUCAACCUGGGAACUGCAUCCAAAACUGGCAAGCUAGAGUACGGUAGAGGGUGGUGGAAUUUCCUGUGUAGCGGUGAAAUGCGUAGAUAUAGGAAGGAACACCAGUGGCGAAGGCGACCACCUGGACUGAUACUGACACUGAGGUGCGAAAGCGUGGGGAGCAAACAGGAUUAGAAACCCUAGUAGUCCACGUACCA
Molecule: ribosomal RNA, 485 nt
Filed under: uncultured bacterium
Lineage: Bacteria
Description: bacterial SSU rRNA
Rfam family: Bacterial small subunit ribosomal RNA
Source: RNAcentral